Molecule: ribosomal RNA, 460 nt
Filed under: uncultured bacterium
Lineage: Bacteria
Description: partial 16S ribosomal RNA
Rfam family: Bacterial small subunit ribosomal RNA
Source: RNAcentral
CCUACGGGAGGCAGCAGUGAGGAAUAUUGGUCAAUGGGCGCGAGCCUGAACCAGCCACGUCGCGUGAAGGAUGAAGGCUCUAUGGUUUGUAAACUUCUUUUAUAUGGGAAUAAAGUGAGGCACGUGUUCCUUUUUGUAUGUACCCUAUGAAUAAGCAUCGGCUAACUCCGUGCCAGCAGCCGCGGUAAUACGGAGGAUGCGAGCGUUAUCCGGAUUUAUUGGGUGUAAAGGGAGAGUAGGUGGGUAAUUAAGUCAGUUGUGAAAGUUUGGGGCUCAACCAUAAGAUUGCAGUUGAUACUGGUUGACUUGAGUACAGUUGAGGUAGGCGGAAUGCGGGGUGUAGCGGUGAAAUGCAUAGAUAUCACGAAGAACUCCGAUUGCGAAGGCAGCUUACUAAACUGUAACUGACACUGAGGCGCGAAAGCGUGGGGAGCAAACAGGAUUAGAUACCCGAGUAGUC